RNAcentral lists this ribosomal RNA (492 nucleotides) under uncultured bacterium. RNAcentral describes it as "partial 16S ribosomal RNA". It matches the Rfam family "Bacterial small subunit ribosomal RNA", at positions 29 to 507 of the family's 1533-position model. The record is from RNAcentral.
AGUGAACGCUGGCGGUAGGCCUAACACAUGCAAGUCGAACGACCGCACAGUAGGAGCUUGCUCUCACGGGUGGCGCGCGUCGGAAGGGUGCGGUAUACAUCGGAUUCUACUUUUUCGUGGGGGCUAACGUAGGGAAUGUUACGCUAAUACAGCAUACGACCCACUGGUGAAAGCACGGGAUCUUCGGACUUUUCGCGUUUGAUUGUGCCGAUGUCGGACUAGCUAGUUGGCGGGGUCAAGGCCCACCAAGGCGCCGAUUCGUAGCUGGUCUGAGAGGAUGAACAGCCACACUGGAACUGAGACACAGUCCAGACUCCUACGGGAGGCAGCAGUGGAGAAUAUUGCACGAAGGGGGCGAGCCUGAUCCAGCCAUACCGCGUGAGUGAAGAAGGCCUUCGGGUGGGUAAGCCCUUUUGUUGUGAAAGAAAAGCAGCAGGUUAAUCCCCCGCGAUUCUGACGGUACCCAAAGAAUAAGCACCGGCUAACUUCGUG